CAGCAUUUGGCACUGAGGUGGUUUCUCACACCUCAGUCAACUGCAGGCUGGAGCUGCUGUGAGGAUUUUGCUGUUGUUGGAGAAAAUCUUCCCCAAUCCUGCCUGGGAUGUGGGACAGAAGAACUGAGGAUGGGGAAUUGUGGCUCACUGUAAAACUUCUCAGCUAGGAUCCUUUGAAAGUCCUGUUGCACAUUCAGUCCUGGAGAUUCUCCAUCAGCUCCUGUAUCUGUAUUUCAGCACAAAUGCAUCUGGGAUGGAUCCAGGAUCCUGGUCUGUCAGGAGCUCAGCAGCAUCCAUGAGCUUCAGGCUGACAAACAGAGGUACAGAUGGGGUCAGAUGCCCCAAAAUACCCCUCAGAGGGAGAAUCUGACCCCAGGAGACACCCAGGACAUGGAGAAGAGACACUACACCUUCAGAAAAUGUUUUAUCAGCAGGGGCAGAGGAAGCAGCUCUAAGCCCAGACCAUCCCCAGGGCACAGUGUAAAAGCAGAGGAUGAUGAGGAAAGUGAGGUUUUGAGGACGGGCACAAACCGUAACCACCAGAGACAGGAGCCCUUCCCUCAAGAGCAGCUCCAUGCCCACUGUGGGAGUUGAGGAUCCCUUGCUGCACCUCUUUUAGGAUCAGCUGGCAGCACUGAAGGAGCCAUCCCGACUUACCCCUCGCUCCUGCCCGUCGCCCUCGGGGCCGUUCCGGCUCUGCAGCACGGACAACGGGAUUAGUUUAGCAUCGAUCUGCCGAGAGCAGCAUCCUGGGCACGGGCUGCGCACGCUGCCCGCGGCCGAGCGCCCACCGCCCCUCCCUGCCCACACCUCUCCCCAGCAGCAGAGUCCUCUGCAGAGCGUCCUGCCCCAUUCUGCCCCCAGAGCUGUCCAUAGGAGGGGACAAAAGCGGGUCUGACCCAAAUAAACCAUGAUCCAAGCAGGCA
This 926-nucleotide long non-coding RNA is filed under the name Chloebia gouldiae (Gouldian finch). RNAcentral's name for it is "Erythrura gouldiae (Gouldian finch) lncRNA (ENSEGOG00005010575.1)". Lineage: Eukaryota; Metazoa; Chordata; Aves; Passeriformes; Passeridae. The record is from RNAcentral.